AAGGAGCUUGCUCCUUUGACGUUAGCGGCGGACGGGUGAGUAACACGUGGGUAACCUACCUAUAAGACUGGGAUAACUUCGGGAAACCGGAGCUAAUACCGGAUAAUAUUUCGAACCGCAUGGUUCGAUAGUGAAAGAUGGUUUUGCUAUCACUUAUAGAUGGACCCGCGCCGUAUUAGCUAGUUGGUAAGGUAACGGCUUACCAAGGCGACGAUACGUAGCCGACCUGAGAGGGUGAUCGGCCACACUGGAACUGAGACACGGUCCAGACUCCUACGGGAGGCAGCAGUAGGGAAUCUUCCGCAAUGGGCGAAAGCCUGACGGAGCAACGCCGCGUGAGUGAUGAAGGUCUUCGGAUCGUAAAACUCUGUUAUUAGGGAAGAACAUACGUGUAAGUAACUGUGCACGUCUUGACGGUACCUAAUCAGAAAGCCACGGCUAACUACGUGCCAGCAGCCGCGGUAAUACGUAGGUGGCAAGCGUUAUCCGGAAUUAUUGGGCGUAAAGCGCGCGUAGGCGGUUUUUUAAGUCUGAUGUGAAAGCCCACGGCUCAACCGUGGAGGGUCAUUGGAAACUGGAAAACUUGAGUGCAGAAGAGGAAAGUGGAAUUCCAUGUGUAGCGGUGAAAUGCGCAGAGAUAUGGAGGAACACCAGUGGCGAAGGCGACUUUCUGGUCUGUAACUGACGCUGAUGUGCGAAAGCGUGGGGAUCAAACAGGAUUAGAUACCCUGGUAGUCCACGCCGUAAACGAUGAGUGCUAAGUGUUAGGGGGUUUCCGCCCCUUAGUGCUGCAGCUAACGCAUUAAGCACUCCGCCUGGGGAGUACGACCGCA
RNAcentral lists this ribosomal RNA (833 nucleotides) under Staphylococcus haemolyticus. RNAcentral describes it as "bacterial SSU rRNA". It matches the Rfam family "Bacterial small subunit ribosomal RNA", at positions 73 to 890 of the family's 1533-position model. The record is from RNAcentral. Lineage: Bacteria; Bacillati; Bacillota; Bacilli; Caryophanales; Staphylococcaceae.